UCCCCUGUAGCUCAAUGGUAGAGCGCAUCCCUGUUAAGGAUUAGGUUAGUGGUUCGAGUCCACUCGGGGGAGCCA
This 75-nucleotide transfer RNA is filed under the name candidate division WWE3 bacterium. RNAcentral describes it as "tRNA-Asn". It matches the Rfam family "tRNA". Rfam says of the family: Transfer RNA (tRNA) molecules are approximately 80 nucleotides in length. Their secondary structure includes four short double-helical elements and three loops (D, anti-codon, and T loops). Lineage: Bacteria; candidate division WWE3. The record is from RNAcentral.